UAGAGUAAGUGACAUGGAUCCUUACCUCAUUACAAAUGGUCGAAAUCAAAAUGGAGAUGCGUAAUGGUACUUCACAUGUCAACCUCAUAACUAGUUUUAUUAUUUUAUACUUUCAUUCUUUCAAUUUCAAACCCAUUUCAACAGGUGAGGUGGGAUGAAGAUGUUGGUAACAACAAUCAUAAAUGAAUUUCUCAAUGAGAGAUUAAUCUUUCGGGUGUAUCUGUCCCACUUUUAAGCAUUCAUCCUUCUCUAAGAUUCAAAAAAACUCUGGUCCUCUCCAACAUUAAAACCAAUAUUAAAAUUAAUGUAAACUGUUUUAAUCUUAUUUAUUAUACUAUUUGAACGUUUUUGCAACUGACACAGGUCCUCUGCAACAUUCAAGUCUUUACAAAACUGAUGCCUUCUCUUUUUGCUCCAAAUUUUGAAGACCUCUUUAUAAACACUUCAUAUGCAUAUCAAGUCAAAUUUCUAAAACUUGAGAUCCUUUCUUCCAUUGCUACAGAUGAAUCAAUCUCAGUUAUCUUUCAAGAAUUGCACAUAGUUUUAUUAAUAUAUUUUAAUAAAAGAUUGGAUUUGUAACAUCCGGAUUCCCAGGUAUUAUUUUAUUCUUUUAUUUUUGGGUGAUUGUGAGGAGACUCGGCGAGUUGGAGUCUAAACUCGCCGAGUAGGAUCGCGGUUUUGUGCGCAGGUUCGCGUAUGGACUCGGCGAGUCCAAAAGUGGAUUCAGCGAGUCCACGUUGUUUAAUGAAACCAUAAUUUCCAUGGCUUGAGACCUAUUUAAAGGGGCUUAUGACCGUCAUUUGCGGCCACCAACCCCAGAGAGAAACCCUAAAGAGAUUUUGAGCGUUUUGGGAGAGAGAAGAAGCCAUUGUUGAGCUUUAAAGCUUUGUUUGGCAAGGCAAAGGAGAUUCUAGCUAAGAGGAGGCAAGGGAGGUGGACAUCCUUCGAUUUUGGAGCUCAGAGCAUCAUUUUGGAGGUUUCUCUCAGGAUCAUGGAACAGCACCGGCUCGAUUGUACACACCAGAGAAAGAGUCAUGUUUUGAGGAUCCUGGUUUAUUAUGCAAGUGAAAAUGGAGUUAUGUUUUGUAAUUCGAUUACAAAUGAGAUUUUAAGAAAAGUGUUUUUAAGAAUUAAACGAUUAUUUUUAAAUGAAAAAUUGCUUUGAAA
This is a long non-coding RNA of Lactuca sativa (garden lettuce), 1167 nucleotides long. RefSeq lists it as uncharacterized. Lineage: Eukaryota; Viridiplantae; Streptophyta; Magnoliopsida; Asterales; Asteraceae. The record is from RefSeq and is a predicted model, not a curated record.